Homo sapiens (human) is the source of this 2423-nucleotide long non-coding RNA. Lineage: Eukaryota; Metazoa; Chordata; Mammalia; Primates; Hominidae. The record is from Ensembl.
GAGCAGAACAGGCAAACGGCCAGUGCUCACCCUGCUCCCUGCCAGGCAGCACUGUGGAUGGGCUUGUGGCCCACGUGAGACUGAGCAGGGAUUUCUGUCACUUGCGGCAGAAAACCUCCCACUGGCUAGCAAGCACCUGGUCCAUCCCAAGGGACAGACUGACAGGCUAUGGCUUGUCCCCAUCAUGGAACACAGCAGAGCGCCGAAAAGAAAGAGGGGGUAUCCUCCCGUCCUGAAAAGGAACCAGCGACGAGAGAUGUCAUCUGUUCUCAACCAGGGGUAAUUUUGCUCCCUAGGUAGGUUGCCAGGUUAAGGAAAUAAAAAUGCAGGGCAGCCAGUUCAAGCUGAAUUUCAGACCGUGCAUGUUAACUAGAUGUCCUGUAUUUACUGUGGCAACCUUACCCCCAGGGGACAUUUGGCAAUGUCUGGAGGCAGUUUUGGUUGUCACUGGGGAUGGUUAGGUGCUACCAGCAUCUGGUGGGAAGGCACCGGGGGUGCUUUUAAACAUUUCACAAUGCAUAGGACAGCUGAGGCCAAAAAAAAAAAAAAAAAUUAUCCAGCCUAAAAUGUCAGUUGUAACAAGGGUGAGAACCCCUGUAUUAAAUGAAAGAUAGCAAAAACCCCAUAAGAACCCCAUAAGAUAUGGUAGGAUCUCAUUUGUACGUCCUGUAUUUACUCUGGCAACCCUACCCCCAGGGGACAUUUGGCAAUGUCUGGGGUUGUUACUGCGGAUGGGGUUGUGUGUGUGUGUGUUUCUUUUUUUCUUUUUACACACCCAACUAAGCCAUAGAAUCGCAUAGAAAAAGGUAUGGAAGGUCACAUACCUAAGUCAUGUGGGGUAGGGAGUGGUCAUUCCUUUUACUCUAAAUACCUUCUGCAGUGUUUUAUUAUUUGUGAAGUUAAUUAUAACUGAAGUGAAUAUAUACGUGUAUACACACACACACAGAAAGCAUGCCUAUCAAAACAAUAGAUAUUUCACAAAGUGAACACACCCAUGGCAUGGCCUCCUGAUGAAGAUGAAGAACAUGGCCACUGCUCCAUGAGGCCCUUUGCAGUCCUGCCAGCCUCUCCCUCGAGGGCUGCGAGGGGAACUGCUGUCCUGACUUCCAACCUGCUUUGGGCUCCACAUGAACCGAAUUCUGCCCGACGUCCUCGCUUGAGACUGGCGUCUUUCCCUCAGCAACGUGUCAUGAUUCAUUCAUGUGGAUCGGAGCAGCGGUUGGAUCAUUUUCAUUGCUGUGAAAUACACCACAAUGGAUUUAUGCAUUCAACCGUUGAUGGACAUUUGGGUCGUUUCCCGUUUGGCAAGAUGAUGAAGAAAGCUGGUAUGAGCAUUCUUUCACACGUCUUUUCUUGGGCAUAUGUACUCACUCCUGUUGAGUGUAAACCUAGGAAUGAAUCGCUCAGUCAUAGGGCAAAUGUGUGUUCCUCUUUCCUAGAUACCAUUCGAGUUCCCAAAGUGCUUGCACGGGUUUACGCUGCCAUCCACCAGAGAUGAAAGUUCCGCCUGGGCUGCUGCCUCCUGGCCAAGCCUGGCUGGGUUGUAGCUUUUGCGCUUUAGUCCCUCUGGUGGGUGUGUAAAUUGCUAAUCACUGUGAUUUUAAUUCGCAUUUCCCUGAUGAUGAAGCUGAGCACUUUUUCAUAACUUUAUGGGCCAUUUGAUUGUCCUCUUUUGUGAAAUGCCUAUUCGGGCCAUUGGUCCAUUUUUCCAUGAGGUUAUCUCCGUUUCUCUCAUUGAUUUGUAAUUAAGAGUCCUGUUGCAAAUCUCUUUUCCCGCUGUGCGGCUUCUUGCCUUUUCCUUCGCUUACAACGCUCCAUGCUGUCCUGGACCCUAGCAUCACCCAGGCCUAGGUAAUAGAAGGGUGGCUUUUGUAAAGCGACUCAAGGCUGAGAAGGGAACAGACACUCUUAGCACAAUAAGCUACAGGCUGAAAAACAGCCGGAGGUGAAUCUUUGCAGCGUGAAUGGUCUGGCUGUCUUUUAUAAAAGUAACUCGAUUGGACUAGACCCCAUGAGGGACUCUGCUCCUCCGCUCCCCUUUCCCUGAGGACCUAAUUCCCCACUGGGUCAGCCGCAGAACCAGAUAGAGCUGGGGACUCACGACCCGUGCUGACGACUGGAUGCAAGAGGAGGAAGGACUUUGGUGGAGAGAAGGAAUCAAAAGGAACCAAGAAUGUGAGACAAGAGGACUUGCUGGUGGGGUCCCCUGCUGUGUCCCCAGAGUCCCAGCAUGUGCCUGACACACAGCAGGUGCCUGAUUGAUAGUGACGGUUCCCCAAAGGCUGCUGGAGUCACCUCUGGGAUUCUGCACAGGCUCCACCCUCUGGGGAGGUGUGCUUGGUAGAGGACACGAAGGCUGCUUGUUGGGGUUACCUUAGUACCUGGGUGAAGAGUAAAAAGUAAUUAAUAAUAACGAAAGAAAA